RNAcentral lists this long non-coding RNA (581 nucleotides) under Homo sapiens (human). RNAcentral describes it as "non-protein coding lnc-TCF4-6:1". The record is from RNAcentral. Lineage: Eukaryota; Metazoa; Chordata; Mammalia; Primates; Hominidae.
AAAUAAGUGUAUAAGCUGACAGAGCACCAUGGAGUUAUGUGAACAGUGAGGACUAUCACUGCAGGACGUUACUAUGCACAGAGCUCUGGUUUGGUUUGACUAUGGCAAAUCUGCCUGUUCAACAGCCCCUCUAAAUAGGGAGUUUCUCAUUUUACAUUUUCCUCUUACCAAAUAACAGUGUCUUCUCUCGUAUCCAUUGUCUAUGAGGCUGUAAAUGGUAUAGUUAUACCUUUGGUGUUCUUAAUUGCCCAUCAAACUGUUCUGCCUUUAACACUUUUUGUUGUAAAUGUCAGAACAUGCAUAGUGACCUUUUUUCUAGCUGCAAGCCUCCAGAGAAGCAGGAGCAGCAGCUCUGAGAAACGUGGCCCAGAGAUUAUUUGAAAACUACCAAACGCAAUCUGAAGAAGUGAGAAAGAAGCAGGAGGACAGUAAACAAUUACUCCAGGUUAACAAGCUUGAAAAAGAACAGAAAUUGAAACAACAUGUUGAAAAUCUGAAUCAAGUUGCUGAAAAACUUGAAGAAAAACACAGUCAAAUUACAGAAUUGGAGAACCUUGUACAGAGAAUGGAAAAGGAAAAGA